GGUCACUGCUAUUGGGAUUCGACUAAGCCAUGCGAGUCGAGAGGGUUCGGCCCUCGGCAGACGGCUCAGUAACACGUGGAUAAUCUGCCCUUAGGCGGAGGAUAAUCUCGGGAAACUGAGGAUAAUACUCCAUAGAUCUAAGAUGCUGGAAUGUACCUAGAUUGAAAGCUCCGGCGCCUAAGGAUGAGUCCGCGGACUAUCAGGUAGUAGUCAGGGUAAUGACCUGACUAGCCUACGACGGAUAUGGGUUGUGAGAGCAAUAACCCAGAGACGAUAUCUGAGACACGAUAUCGGGCCCUACGGGGCGCAGCAGGCGCGAAAACUUCACACUGUGCGAAAGCACGAUGAGGGAAUCCCAAGUGCUGGCUCGUAAGAGUCAGCUGUUUUUCUGUCUAAAAAACAGAGAGAGUAAGAGCUGGGUAAGACGGGUGCCAGCCGCCGCGGUAAUACCUGCAGCUCAAGUGGUGGCCGCUAUUAUUGGGCCUAAAGCGUCCGUAGCCGGUUUAGUAAAUGCCUGGGUAAAUCGUGUAGCUUAACUAUACGAAUUCCGGGUAGACUGCUAAACUUGGGACCGGGAGAGGCUAGAGGUACUUCUGGGGUAGAGGUGAAAUUCUGUAAUCCUAGGGGGACCACCAGUGGCGAAGGCGUCUAGCUAGAACGGGUCUGACGGUGAGGGACGAAGCCCUGGGGCGCAAACCGGAUUAGAUACCCGGGUAGUCCAGGGUGUAAACGCUGUUCGCUUGAUGUUAGUUGGGCUCCGAGCCCAACUAGUGUCGGAGAGAAGUUGUUAAGCGAACUGCCUGGGAAGUACGGUCGCAAGACUGAAACUUAAAGGAAUUGGCGGGGGAGCACAGCAACGGGUGGAGCGUGCGGUUU
This 876-nucleotide ribosomal RNA is filed under the name uncultured euryarchaeote. RNAcentral describes it as "bacterial SSU rRNA". It matches the Rfam family "Archaeal small subunit ribosomal RNA", at positions 21 to 903 of the family's 1478-position model. The record is from RNAcentral. Lineage: Archaea; Methanobacteriati; Methanobacteriota.